GGUUGAUCCUGCCAGUAGUCAUAUGCUUGUCUCAAAGAUUAAGCCAUGCAUGUCUCAGUGUAAACUUUUAAACGGUGAAACUGCGAAUGGCUCAUUAAAACAGUUAUAGUUUAUUUGAUAAUCACUCUUACAUGGAUAACCGUGGUAAUUCUAGGGCUAAUACAUGCGUAAACCCCUCACGGGGUGUGUUUAUUAGAUUUUAAGCCAACUCUGGGCAACCAGAUAUAUUGGAAUGAUAAUAACCGAACGAAUCGCACUUCGUAGUCGCGAUAGAUCAUUCGAGUUUCUGAC
This 291-nucleotide ribosomal RNA is filed under the name uncultured eukaryote. Its description in RNAcentral is "partial 18S ribosomal RNA". It matches the Rfam family "Eukaryotic small subunit ribosomal RNA", at positions 6 to 311 of the family's 1831-position model. The record is from RNAcentral.